Long non-coding RNA from Vulpes vulpes (red fox), 1615 nucleotides. The record is from Ensembl. NCBI's taxonomy places the organism in Eukaryota, Metazoa, Chordata, Mammalia, Carnivora, Canidae.
GUGGUGAGUGGACAGAGGGAGGGACACAAGCUCUCUCUCUUAUUAUGCUUUUCUUUGGUGCACAGUAACCUCUCCAGCUGCAAAGUUAAUGACGUCUAGUGCGAUGCUUUUUCUAAAGCAUAAUCAGUUCCCACAGUCACAGAAUUAGAGGGAAAGAAAGGAAGAAAAAAGAAGAUAGAUGGGUUUGGCAGAAGAGAACUAUGAUCCAGUUCUUCGCCAUGGGAAAACAGCCAGCAAAAGUGCCAUUGAUUAAGAACCCACUUUGUGUUGUGAUGAGCACCGGGUGUCCUAAGUGCUUACAUGUGGGGGAGCUAAUCCCGGAGCCCGGAGAGGAGGAGGUACCAGCGCAGCAGCCGUUUUCGCAGAGGUUUGGGGGAAGAUGGGACUGUCCUGGCUGUGGUGGAAGAUGGCUGGGUUGGGGAGUAAGACCAGGUAUGCCAACAGAUGCUGUGAUUUGGGACUUGGGGUCGCUUACUCUUUCCGAGCCUUCACUUCCUCACCUGUUGGCCAGGAACCCUGAUGAUGUCCCAGGUCCUGCUAGGCUUGACAUAGAGGCAUCCGUUUGCUGGUGAGGUAGAGGGUGCUGGAAGGUGAGAGUGUAAAGUGCUAUCUGUCAGAGAGUUCAAAGACGAGGCAGAGGAAAAAUGUCAUGAAGAGAAGUUGGAGGUUAGAAAACAGUUUCCUGAAACAAACCCACCCACUGUUACAACCCACCCAGCCACUAGCUCACUCACUCUGCUUCCCAGGCAGGGGUUUUACACUAUUUCUGUCAUGGGAUACAAGGCAGAGCUCUUCUCUAUUCUAAGAGAAGUUUUAUAUUUCUUUGGUUUGGGUUUUGUUGGCAGUUUCUUCUUUCUGAUGAUUUGUUUUGAAUCUAAAAGGGAAGGCAAAUGCUUUGGGCUGCAUAUUUACUGGUUACAUUUCUCGUUUGUUGGAAUGUAUAAUGUCAAGUCUCUCACCCUGAGCAGUUCCUAGUAGGAAAGCGAUCUGUACAACGGAGGCCUCCGCUACCAUGUAUGGGUGGGUGUGUAAGUCUAAUGCACUUAAAAUACACUAAACGUAGGGUACAGAGUACUGUGGAUAGGCCCCCAGAGCUGGGUACAGGACCACGGGCCUGCCCCUCUACCCAAGGGAAUGGCCAGGUCUCAUUUUUCUCAGUAGCAGCCCCUUGAUUAAAGCUGGCAGGCUUUUACAAGCUCCCCAUGCCAUGUAGGGAUGACAUCCUUCCUCCCAGUCUCGGCAUUAUUCUGGCAGCCAGGUGAGCUUGUGUGCAUGGCUGCUGGGAAGGACUUUGUUCCCCUGUCUGAGCCUGGCUACCCGCCCCCCCCAAGCCCAGCAGGGAUGUGUAACAGCGAGCAGCAGGCCUGGGGGACUUGUGAGCUGUUGCCAUGGUCACUCCCCAGCGCAUCCAAGGACAAGUCCCCACAUCCGCUGCGAGACUUCAUUAGAGACAGAGCACCACGUGACCACAAGCCUCAAAUCACUUCGUAAGGACUGUGGCCCGGCCUUGUCCCAUCCUGUCGUUUGGCCCCAUAAGCAGAGCGGAGCUGACCUGUGGCCAAGAGACCAACGUAUUCUUCACACUGAAAUAAAUGCACUGACACCCCAAACGCCA